Molecule: ribosomal RNA, 199 nt
Filed under: Kurthia huakuii
Lineage: Bacteria; Bacillati; Bacillota; Bacilli; Caryophanales; Caryophanaceae
Description: partial 16S ribosomal RNA
Rfam family: Bacterial small subunit ribosomal RNA
Source: RNAcentral
UACUCCUACGGGAGGCAGCAGUAGGGAAUCUUCCACAAUGGACGGAAGUCUGAUGGAGCAACGCCGCGUGAGUGAUGAAGGUUUUCGGAUCGUAAAACUCUGUUGUAAGGGAAGAACCAGUACGUCAGGCAAUGGACGUACCUUGACGGUACCUUAUUAGAAAGCCACGGCUAACUACGUGCCAGCAGCCGCGGUAAUA